GUUUUGACUUAGUAAGAAUGUAUACUAAAAUUGGAACAAUUCAGUGAAGUUUAGCAUGGCCUUGCACAAGGGUGAGGUUCAAAUUCAUGAAACGGCCAGUGUUUCA
Small nuclear RNA from Loxodonta africana (African savanna elephant), 106 nucleotides. Lineage: Eukaryota; Metazoa; Chordata; Mammalia; Proboscidea; Elephantidae. The record is from Ensembl.